RNAcentral lists this non-coding RNA (469 nucleotides) under Pongo abelii (Sumatran orangutan). The record is from RNAcentral. Lineage: Eukaryota; Metazoa; Chordata; Mammalia; Primates; Hominidae.
UGUGGCUCACGUCUGUCAUCCCAGAGCCUUGGGAGGUCGAGGCGGGAGGAUCGCUUGAGCCCGGGAGCUCGAGACCAGACGCGGCAACUUGGCGAGACCCACAUCUCUGUCUUUAAAAAUGCGAGGCUGGCGGUUACCUUUCUUGGGGAGACGCGUCCGACUGCUUCAUUGUGGGAGCCUCAGGAGCGGAGGAUCGGGUCCCGCCCGAGGUGACGCGUAAACCCGGACUCUCAGCAACGCGGGUAAGAAGGACCCUUGAAGUUCCGCGGCGACCACGUCGGCUGAAACCAGUAGCCCAGGACAAGUGGACCAGCCAGCAAGACCCAGACCAUCCAAACUGGCUGAUCCUACGACAGGACCCAGGUGCCAGUGAAAGUGACCACAGCCCUGCUCUGGUCACUCCGGAAGCUGACCAGUCCACGCACAGCCGAAGCUUCAUCAAGGAAGUAAAUGUAGUUAGAAAUCUUAA